GGGUGAAAUACAUACUCCGUGUUCUAAAAUUGUAAGACCAGGCGACAACCGUCUCUAUAUAGAGGGUGGCAGUUGGUUCAAGCUCUACCUUCCUUUCUCAGUUGGAUCUAUUUAAAGCCUGCAGCAGAGGAAACUUGGCAGCUGAAUGUUUCCAAAAGUUUUCUCUAAUAUAAAGAAAACAGUGGUUAUUUAUAAUCAUUACUGGAGGGUUUGACAAUCAGGAAAACAUUAGGUUCAGCUUCUCCGAAAUCGAUUUGAGAUUCACAGCAAGUCCUCAUUACACUGCACCACUAGCAUAAAUUAUUGUAUAUUUUAAUGCUCCAUAUCCCACAACAUCCAAGAGAUGUUGGUAUCAAUCCUACACUGAGUCAAGACACGCUUCGGCAUACAUGUCAUCACGUCCGUCUUUGCACAGGUGUCAUCACGUCCGUCUUUGCCUUCUCCCAACAUGUUUCUUGAACGAUAAUCAGGACACCACUCCCGAUGAUGAAGUACACUUCCAACAAAUGACUGCUCAUCAAGGUCUCAGCUGCAGUGUUUAAUCACGCAGCAGAAACCAUUUAUUUUCUCAUAUACUUCUCUUUCUUGAAAUAUCUCUUAAUUAUCUCAUUUACUCCUAUAUAAAAAUGGUGCUCAAAAAUUUAAUUACAAGGGCAAGAUCUUAA
Long non-coding RNA from Homo sapiens (human), 665 nucleotides. The record is from Ensembl. NCBI's taxonomy places the organism in Eukaryota, Metazoa, Chordata, Mammalia, Primates, Hominidae.